Molecule: unclassified non-coding RNA, 148 nt
Organism: Pongo abelii (Sumatran orangutan)
Lineage: Eukaryota; Metazoa; Chordata; Mammalia; Primates; Hominidae
Rfam family: Metazoan signal recognition particle RNA
About the family: The signal recognition particle (SRP) is a universally conserved ribonucleoprotein. It is involved in the co-translational targeting of proteins to membranes. The eukaryotic SRP consists of a 300-nucleotide 7S RNA and six proteins: SRPs 72, 68, 54, 19, 14, and 9.
Source: Ensembl
GCCAGGCAUGGUGGUGCAUGCCUGUAAUCCCAGCUACUCAGGAGGCUGAGGCACGAGAAUUGCUUGAGCCUGGAAGAUUGAGGCUGCAGUGAGCUGAGAUUGUGCCACUACACUCCAGCCUGGGCAACAGAGUGAGACCUAGUCUCAA